RNAcentral lists this ribosomal RNA (200 nucleotides) under Exophiala spinifera. Its description in RNAcentral is "partial large subunit ribosomal RNA". It matches the Rfam family "Eukaryotic large subunit ribosomal RNA", at positions 82 to 279 of the family's 3401-position model. Lineage: Eukaryota; Fungi; Ascomycota; Eurotiomycetes; Chaetothyriales; Herpotrichiellaceae. The record is from RNAcentral.
AGUAACGGCGAGUGAAGCGGCAACAGCUAAAAUUUGAAAUCUGGCCUCUUUGGGGUCCGAGUUGUAAUUUGUAGAGGAUGUUUCGGGUACCGCCUCGGUUUAAAUUUCUUGGAACAGAAUGUCAGAGAGGGUGAGAAUCCCGUCUUGGACCGGCGGUAGGGCCCAUGUGAAACUCCUUCGACGAGUCGAGUUGUUUGGGA